UUAGGUUGGUGCAAAAGGAAUUGUGGUUUUUGCCAUCACUUUAAAACCGCAAUUCCUUUUGCACCAACCUAAU
Molecule: microRNA precursor, 73 nt
Organism: Colobus angolensis palliatus
Lineage: Eukaryota; Metazoa; Chordata; Mammalia; Primates; Cercopithecidae
Source: Ensembl